Molecule: ribosomal RNA, 150 nt
Filed under: uncultured heterokont
Lineage: Eukaryota
Description: partial small subunit ribosomal RNA
Rfam family: Eukaryotic small subunit ribosomal RNA
Source: RNAcentral
GUACACACCGCCCGUCGCACCUACCGAUUGAAUGGUCCGGUGAAAUCUUUGGACUGUGACUUUGCCUUGUUCAUUCAAGGCGCUGUCAUGGGAAGUUGAUUAAACCUUACCAUUUAGAGGAAGGUGAAGUCGUAACAAGGUUUCCGUAGG